RNAcentral lists this non-coding RNA (167 nucleotides) under Hydrogeniiclostridium mannosilyticum. RNAcentral describes it as "Lysine riboswitch". It matches the Rfam family "Lysine riboswitch aptamer". Rfam says of the family: Riboswitches are metabolite binding domains within certain messenger RNAs that serve as precision sensors for their corresponding targets. Allosteric rearrangement of mRNA structure is mediated by ligand binding, and this results in modulation of gene expression. This family includes riboswitches that sense lysine in a number of genes involved in lysine metabolism, including lysC. The record is from RNAcentral. Lineage: Bacteria; Bacillati; Bacillota; Clostridia; Eubacteriales; Acutalibacteraceae.
UAGAUAGAGGCGCGGAUUUCAAGAGUAAGCAUGUUGAGGCUUGCCGGAGCCGGUGAAGCAUGGUAAAAGGGAAAGCCGCCGAAGAGGACAGUUGGCAGCUGUUUUCUGGGCACUGGCGCGAAAGCACAGUGACUGUCAUCAUUUUAUUAUGAUGGGGCGCUAUCGGG